AGCCCAGCUUGCUGGGUGGAUUAGUGGCGAACGGGCUGAUUGUAACACGUGAGUAACCUGCCCUUAACUCUGGGAUAAGCCUGGGAAACUGGGUCUAAUACCGGAUAGGAGCGUCCACCGCAUGGUGGGUGUUGGAAAGAUUUAUCGGUUUUGGAUGGACUCGCGGCCUAUCAGCUUGUUGGUGAGGUAAUGGCUCACCAAGGCGACGACGGGUAGCCGGCCUGAGAGGGUGACCGGCCACACUGGGACUGAGACACGGCCCAGACUCCUACGGGAGGCAGCAGUGGGGAAUAUUGCACAAUGGGCGCAAGCCUGAUGCAGCGACGCCGCGUGAGGGAUGACGGCCUUCGGGUUGUAAACCUCUUUCAGUGGGGAAGAAGCGAAAGUGACGGUACCUGCAGAAGAAGCACCGGCUAACUACGUGCCAGCAGCCGCGGUAAUACGUAGGGUGCGAGCGUUAUCCGGAAUUAUUGGGCGUAAAGAGCUCGUAGGCGGUUUGUCGCGUCUGUCGUGAAAGUCCGGGGCUUAACUCCGGAUCUGCGGUGGGUACGGGCAGACUAGAGUGCAGUAGGGGAGACUGGAAUUCCUGGUGUAGCGGUGGAAUGCGCAGAUAUC
Molecule: ribosomal RNA, 615 nt
Filed under: Micrococcus sp. U140
Lineage: Bacteria; Bacillati; Actinomycetota; Actinomycetes; Micrococcales; Micrococcaceae
Description: bacterial SSU rRNA
Rfam family: Bacterial small subunit ribosomal RNA
Source: RNAcentral